UGCCAGUGAUAAACUGGAGGAAGGUGGGGAUGACGUCAAGUCAUCAUGGCCCUUACGACCAGGGCUACACACGUGCUACAAUGGCAUAUACAAAGAGAAGCGACCUCGCGAGAGCAAGCGGACCUCAUAAAGUAUGUCGUAGUCCGGAUUGGAGUCUGCAACUCGACUCCAUGAAGUCGGAAUCGCUAGUAAUCGUGGAUCAGAAUGCCACGGUGAAUACGUUCCCGGGCCUUGUACACACCGCCCGUCACACCAUGGGAGUGGGUUGCAAAAGAAGUAGGUAGCUUAACCUUCGGGAGGGCGCUUACCACUUUGUGAUUCAUGACUGGGGUGAAGUCGUAACAAGGUAACCGUAGGGGAACCUGCGGUUGGAUCACCUCCUUACCUUAAAGAA
RNAcentral lists this ribosomal RNA (394 nucleotides) under Citrobacter amalonaticus. RNAcentral describes it as "bacterial SSU rRNA". It matches the Rfam family "Bacterial small subunit ribosomal RNA", at positions 1150 to 1533 of the family's 1533-position model. Lineage: Bacteria; Pseudomonadati; Pseudomonadota; Gammaproteobacteria; Enterobacterales; Enterobacteriaceae. The record is from RNAcentral.